Molecule: ribosomal RNA, 484 nt
Filed under: uncultured bacterium
Lineage: Bacteria
Description: partial 16S ribosomal RNA
Rfam family: Bacterial small subunit ribosomal RNA
Source: RNAcentral
AUUGAACGCUGGCGGCAGGCCUAACACAUGCAAGUCGAGCGGAUGAAGGGAGCUUGCUCCUGGAUUCAGCGGCGGACGGGUGAGUAAUGCCUAGGAAUCUGCCUGGUAGUGGGGGAUAACGUCCGGAAACGGGCGCUAAUACCGCAUACGUCCUGAGGGUGAAAGUGGGGGGUCUUCGGACCUAACGCUAUCAGACGAGCCUAGGUAGGAUUAGCUAGUUGGUGGAGUAAAGGCCUACCAAGGCGACGUUCCGUAACUGGUCUGAGAGGAAGAUCAGUCACACUGGAACAGGGACGCGGUCCAGACUACUACGGGAGGCAGCAGUAGGGAAUAUUGGACAGUGAGCGAAAGUCUGAUCCAGCCAUGCCGCGGGUGUGAAGAAGGUCUUCGGAUUGUAAAGCACUCUAAGUUGGGAGGUAGUGCAGUAAGUUAAUACCUUACUGUUUUGACGUUACCGACAGGAUACACACCGGCUAACUUCGUG